GAUUAACAAGACAAGUGAUUGAGGCGUGGUCGGAGUUAUAGUAUAUAAACCAGAGCAUUUGUUCGAUAGAUAUCACUUGUGAAAACUCUUCCAAGCGAAACUAUUACAAUGUUCUUCAGACUGUUUACCUUCCUCGCCAUUGUGGCUGUGGCUUUCGCCCUCCCCAAACCUGAGCCCCAAGUGUGGGCCUACACUGCCGGCGCGUACCCAGCUGCUUACCCCUACGCCGCCGCUGCCUACGCACCCUACGCCGCAGCUGCAUUCCCAUACGCCUACAAUGCAGGAUAUUACCUUCGUUAACACCGCCCUAUAAAACUACAACUCGAGCUUGUUAAAUGACACAAUUAUUUACAUAUCUUCCGUCUUUAUCCUGAAAUUCAUUUUAAAGAAUAUUCUUAAAUGUUGUCAUUUACAAGUUAAGAUGUGGCUUUAAAUACUCAGACAUUUGCUAGAAAUUGGUAUCGAUAUGCUUUACGUGUAAAUAAAUUUUUUCGCAUA
Maniola jurtina (meadow brown) is the source of this 498-nucleotide long non-coding RNA. RefSeq lists it as uncharacterized. Lineage: Eukaryota; Metazoa; Arthropoda; Insecta; Lepidoptera; Nymphalidae. The transcript has 2 exons. The record is from RefSeq and is a predicted model, not a curated record.